UACUCCUACGGGAGGCAGCAGUGGGGAAUAUUGGACAAUGGGGGGAACCCUGAUCCAGCCAUGCCGCGUGUGUGAAGAAGGCCUUAUGGUUGUAAAGCACUUUAAGCGAGGAGGAGGCUACUGAGACUAAUACUCUUGGAUAGUGGACGUUACUCGCAGAAUAAGCACCGGCUAACUCUGUGCCAGCAGCCGCGGUAAUACAGAGGGUGCGAGCGUUAAUCGGAUUUACUGGGCGUAAAGCGUGCGUAGGCGGCUUUUUAAGUCGGAUGUGAAAUCCCCGAGCUUAACUUGGGAAUUGCAUUCGAUACUGGGAAGCUAGAGUAUGGGAGAGGAUGGUAGAAUUCCAGGUGUAGCGGUGAAAUGCGUAGAGAUCUGGAGGAAUACCGAUGGCGAAGGCAGCCAUCUGGCCUAAUACUGACGCUGAGGUACGAAAGCAUGGGGAGCAAACAGGAUUAGAUACCCUGGUAGUCCAUGCCGUAAACGAUGUCUACUAGCCGUUGGGGCCUUUGAGGCUUUAGUGGCGCAGCUAACGCGAUAAGUAGACCGCCUGGGGAGUACGGUCGCAAGACUAAAACUCAAAUGAAUUGACGGGGGCCCCCACAAGCGGUGGAGCAUGUGGAAUC
This 623-nucleotide ribosomal RNA is filed under the name uncultured bacterium. Its description in RNAcentral is "bacterial SSU rRNA". It matches the Rfam family "Bacterial small subunit ribosomal RNA", at positions 334 to 948 of the family's 1533-position model. The record is from RNAcentral.